GAUGAACGCUGGCGGCGUGCCUAAUACAUGCAAGUCGAGCGAACAGACGAGGAGCUUGCUCCUCUGACGGUAGCGGCGGACGGGUGAGUAACACGUGGAUAACCUACCUAUAAGACUGGGAUAACUUCGGGAAACCGGAGCUAAUACCGGAUACUUUAUUGAACCGCAUGGUUCAAUAGUGAAAGACGGUUUUGCUGUCACUUAUAGAUGGAUCCGCGCCGCAUUAGCUAGUUGGUAAGGUAACGGCUUACCAAGGCAACGAUGCGUAGCCGACCUGAGAGGGUGAUCGGCCACACUGGGACUGAGACACGGUCCAGACUCCUACGGGAGGCAGCAGUAGGGAAGCUUCCGCAAUGGGCGAAAGCCUGACGGAGCAACGCCGCGUGAGUGAUGAAGGUCUUCGGAUCGUAAAACUCUGUUAUUAGGGAAGAACAAAUGUGUAAGUAACUAUGCACGUCUUGACGGUACCUAAUCAGAAAGCCACGGCUAACUACGUG
This 497-nucleotide ribosomal RNA is filed under the name uncultured bacterium. RNAcentral describes it as "partial 16S ribosomal RNA". It matches the Rfam family "Bacterial small subunit ribosomal RNA", at positions 28 to 507 of the family's 1533-position model. The record is from RNAcentral.